CUUUAUUUUUACUAACAAGGGAACAUCGCACUCGAUGUGUCUGGGAUUUUGGCGAUGUUUUGUCGUCUAGGGGGGCGUGGGGAGUGGAUGAGGAGUCGCCCCUGUAUUGGGGGCCGCUGCUCUGGCGUUUUCGGGAGGGUCGCUUUUGAGAUUUCGGAGGUUUUUUGUUUUACUUGGGUGGCGAGCGCUUGGACGUUUGACUGUGUGUUGAGGUGGUGUGGUGGCUGCGUCGGGGUUCCGACGGUCGGAGCAUGUAGGUUCGAUUCUUGAUAAAUUCCGAAUUUUUUUUCUCUCUAAUCUUUUGC
This 305-nucleotide long non-coding RNA is filed under the name Androctonus crassicauda. The record is from RNAcentral. Lineage: Eukaryota; Metazoa; Arthropoda; Arachnida; Scorpiones; Buthidae.